CCUGCAUUUAUCCUGGGGCCUCAUACCUCAGAGGACUGGAGGAAGACUUAUGAACUGAUCCUUCUUGCUCUGAGAAUUAGAAUGGUCUCUUGACAAGAGGAACUAUUCUGCCAGUUCACAGAUGAGGCUACUUUGCUACAGAGAAAAAUAAGCCAUUCAUCCAACUUAAAAAGUGAGGAAGUUUUGGAACCAGAAUUUUCCUGAUGUGGAUAAGCUUGUGAAAGCAGAGGGAGAGUCUGAACGAGGGGGAUGGUGGACAGUUGUCUCCUAAAACCUCAAUAGAAAGUCAUGGAGAUGAUAAAGCUGCUUCAGACUGGCCUCCAGCUCAGACUGAGAUGCUGAUCUCAUCAUUGCCCUCCCCACUGGAGUGGGAUCCUGAAAUUGGGUUGUAGUU
Molecule: long non-coding RNA, 394 nt
Organism: Ailuropoda melanoleuca (giant panda)
Lineage: Eukaryota; Metazoa; Chordata; Mammalia; Carnivora; Ursidae
Exons: 3
Source: RefSeq, a predicted model, not a curated record